CACGUAGUUAGCCGGUGCUUCUUUACCCAUUACCGUCACUCACGCUUCGUCACAGGCGAAAGCGGUUUACAACCCGAGGGCCGUCAUCCCGCACGCGGCGUUGCUGCAUCAGGCUUCCGCCCAUUGUGCAAUAUUCCCCACUGCUGCCUCCCGUAGGAGUCUGGGCCGUAUCUCAGUCCCAAUGUGGCCAGUCACCCUCUCAGGCCGGCUACCCGUCAAAGCCUUGGUAAGCCACUACCCCACCAACAAGCUGAUAAGCCGCGAGUCCAUCCCCAACCGCCGAAACUUUCCAACCCCCACCAUGCAGCAGGAGCUCCUAUCCGGUAUUAGCCCCAGUUUCCUGAAGUUAUCCCAAAGUCAAGGGCAGGUUACUCACGUGUUACUCACCCGUUCGCCACUCGAGCACCCACAAAAGCAGGCCUUUCCGUUCGACUUGCAUGUGUUAAGCACGCCGCCAGCGUUCGUCCUGAGCCAGGACGUACAAACGUCU
This 490-nucleotide ribosomal RNA is filed under the name uncultured Propionibacterium sp. Its description in RNAcentral is "partial 16S ribosomal RNA". Lineage: Bacteria; Bacillati; Actinomycetota; Actinomycetes; Propionibacteriales; Propionibacteriaceae. The record is from RNAcentral.